This 478-nucleotide ribosomal RNA is filed under the name uncultured bacterium. Its description in RNAcentral is "bacterial SSU rRNA". It matches the Rfam family "Bacterial small subunit ribosomal RNA", at positions 328 to 793 of the family's 1533-position model. The record is from RNAcentral.
UGACAGUACUCCUACGGGGAGGCAGCAGUGGGGGAAUAUUGCACAAUGGGCGCAAGCCUGAUGCAGCCAUGCCGCGUGUGUGAAGAAGGACCUUCGGGUUGUAAAGCACUUUCAGUCGUGAGGAAGGUAGUGUAGUUAAUAGCUGCAUUAUUUGACGUUAGCGACAGAAGAAGCACCGGCUAACUCCGUGCCAGCAGCCGCGGUAAUACGGAGGGUGCGAGCGUUAAUCGGAAUUACUGGGCGUAAAGCGCAUGCAGGUGGUUUGUUAAGUCAGAUGUGAAAGCCCGGGGCUCAACCUCGGAAUAGCAUUUGAAACUGGCAGACUAGAGUACUGUAGAGGGGGGUAGGAAUUUCAGGUGUAGCGGUGAAAUGCGUAGAGAUCUGAAGGAAUACCGGUGGCGAAGGCGGCCCCCUCGGACAGAUACUGACACUCAGAUGCGAAAGCGUGGGGAGCAAACAGGAUUAGAUACCCUGGUAG